This is a long non-coding RNA of Corvus hawaiiensis (hawaiian crow), 1000 nucleotides long. RefSeq lists it as uncharacterized. The transcript has 5 exons. The record is from RefSeq and is a predicted model, not a curated record. Lineage: Eukaryota; Metazoa; Chordata; Aves; Passeriformes; Corvidae.
GCCGGAGGCGCGGGGUCCGGCGGGGCGCCUGCGAUCGGUCCCGGCGGGCAGGGCCGGCUGUCCGCGGGGAACCCGCAGCUCCUCUGGAAGUGACCGGGGUUGUAAGUGCGGUGAGACAGGGAGUGCCUAUCCCAGCGUGUUCGUGCCAUGGAGCACACGGGGCCCAGGCACUGCGGUAACGCAGCGGGCACGGGCAGCGCCGCUCGCCCGAGCCGAACCAGGAGCGGCUGGGAACGGGAGGGACACCAGGUCCAGCCUCUGGAGCAGGGACUGGCCUCUCUGCACUGCUCUGAACAGCACUGGUCUAAGGCUUGGGCCCAGCCAGAUUUGAAAACGCAGCAUGCCACCAGACUUGCUCAUUUUGUGUAUGAGGUGUGGUACUCACUCUGCGAGACAUUCGAUAUUAACUGAGUACAUCAUCUGGAAGUGACACAAACUCCUUAUUGCUAUACUGGGAGAAAUAAAAGUGACGGGAACAAAAAAGACCAGACUCUUGAUCUGCUGUUACUGUAACAAAGUGAAACAGGACAAGUUUCUUCCUUUUGGAGUGCUGCUUCCAAAACCCCACUCCAAUACUCCUGAAGCAUUGCCACAGACCUAAUAAAUUCCAGAGACCACUGGGAACAAGGUUUGGAAACACUUCAGCAGAUGAACCACUUUCUGAGGACUGAAACCUUUGUUUCAAAAACACAUUCAAUACAAUCUGACUCACAGGAGGCCUGAAGUUAAAGCCUCCUUCUCUCUUUUCCAGAUUCAGUCCAAUGAGAGAAAACUUGGACAGAGAGGAAGCCUGAAAGGAUGGUCCAGUGGAAGUCUGUGAUGGAUCUCUCUGCCUAAGAGGGUCCCCCCCAGUAAAGGUUGUUCUUUAUUGCAUCUCAGUUCUGGGAUCAAGGUGCAUGUGGCAAAGCAAGCUACUUGAUCAUUUACUCUAUGAAUUCUGAAACUGGAAAGGUUUAAGAAAACAUGCAAAAUGCUGAGGAUACACGUAAGUGAAAUAUUU